Molecule: ribosomal RNA, 718 nt
Filed under: Citrobacter sp. MYb160
Lineage: Bacteria; Pseudomonadati; Pseudomonadota; Gammaproteobacteria; Enterobacterales; Enterobacteriaceae
Description: bacterial SSU rRNA
Rfam family: Bacterial small subunit ribosomal RNA
Source: RNAcentral
CAUGCAGUCGAACGGUAGCACAGAGGAGCUUGCUCCUUGGGUGACGAGUGGCGGACGGGUGAGUAAUGUCUGGGAAACUGCCCGAUGGAGGGGGAUAACUACUGGAAACGGUAGCUAAUACCGCAUAACGUCGCAAGACCAAAGAGGGGGACCUUCGGGCCUCUUGCCAUCGGAUGUGCCCAGAUGGGAUUAGCUAGUAGGUGGGGUAACGGCUCACCUAGGCGACGAUCCCUAGCUGGUCUGAGAGGAUGACCAGCCACACUGGAACUGAGACACGGUCCAGACUCCUACGGGAGGCAGCAGUGGGGAAUAUUGCACAAUGGGCGCAAGCCUGAUGCAGCCAUGCCGCGUGUAUGAAGAAGGCCUUCGGGUUGUAAAGUACUUUCAGCGAGGAGGAAGGGGAUGUGGUUAAUAACCGCAUUCAUUGACGUUACUCGCAGAAGAAGCACCGGCUAACUCCGUGCCAGCAGCCGCGGUAAUACGGAGGGUGCAAGCGUUAAUCGGAAUUACUGGGCGUAAAGCGCACGCAGGCGGUCUGUCAAGUCGGAUGUGAAAUCCCCGGGCUCAACCUGGGAACUGCAUCCGAAACUGGCAGGCUAGAGUCUUGUAGAGGGGGGUAGAAUUCCAGGUGUAGCGGUGAAAUGCGUAGAGAUCUGGAGGAAUACCGGUGGCGAAGGCGGCCCCCUGGACAAAGACUGACGCUCAGGUGCGAAAGCGU